RNAcentral lists this long non-coding RNA (1643 nucleotides) under Selaginella moellendorffii. RNAcentral's name for it is "long non-coding RNA (SMOE_LNC001439)". The record is from RNAcentral. Lineage: Eukaryota; Viridiplantae; Streptophyta; Lycopodiopsida; Selaginellales; Selaginellaceae.
GAGAGACGGCAUUGUUGACAGCUUACAAGUGACUUAUGAGCUGGUGAUAUCCUGAAUCAUUUGUAGUUACGUGUGCUUUUGCGAGAUGCCAUAACCAAUCCUCUGUUCCUGGUGCAGGUGGAAGAAACACCCUUUUGUUUUCUGACUUGGAGGAAGAAUCCGGUGGCAAGCUCAACUCGAUGGCAAUAGGCUUUAGAGUUCCAUCCGCUUUGAGGUACAGUAGAGUUCUGGAUGCGUAAGCGUGGAUUUCCUUGAUGCUGUUGAUUUUGGUCAAGUAAGGCAAGUAUGCAUCAUGGUAGUCUAAGAUGAAUAGCUUCUUGUUCUCAAGUGCCUGCUCAUAUGAGUCAGUAAAAAUCGUCACCAAGUUCCAUUUUUCUUACUUGCUGGACUGUGUUUCCUUCAAGCUGAGAGACAAUAUGUUCUUCUGUAAUGGCUGACUUUUGUGUUCCGUAUACUGCUGGGUCCAGCGUGCUUUCUGGUGGAAAAACCUGCAUACAGCGGGUCAUUUUUCUUACCAGCAUUUUGAAACUAGAUUACCUCUAGUAGCUGAAUCGCCAUGGGGUUUAGUCCGCUGAUCAUCUGCCUUGCGAAUUCGGCGUCGGACAUCCAUCCUUUCUCGUUGGCUGUAGAAAUCAGUUUUCGCAUCAGAAAAAUCGCAGAGGUGAACUUACUAAUUACCUUUGAUAACCGUAGGUAUUGGAUACAUCAGCAAGCUUCCACUGUCUCCAGUCGACAGGCUUUGGACAACCUCAGCUGGAUCAAGAAUGUCGUCGUCUCGUUUGCACUUGCUCAUAUCAACUCCUUCCACGUACAGAUUUUGCACUUCACCAAAGCUAUCAAACGUUUCAUCUGCUGUGAAUGUGCUUUCCAGGUUUGGGAUCAGGCUCUGUGCCGCGGCUUUUAUGGCGGCCGUUAGGAAGUUGGACUCCUUAGUUGUGCCAAAUCGUUCAUCACUCGGUAUGUAGUAAUUCCCUGCUGCCUGGCUCUCGGUAGCUUUAUCUGGAAAGCAGUGCUUAGCACAGCUAUUAAUAUUACUAGUGUAAAGCACUCACCUGUUUCCUCUGGAUCUCGUCCAGUUCGACACCGUCGUGGAUACGGAAAUUCUGCAGAACCCCCGAGUGUAGGCCGCUGGAGGGACUUGUCAGUAUCCGGUUUCCCAAGAUCAUUGUAAGUGGCGUAGUCAUAUAUUCGUUCCCAGACUUUUCUUUCACCUGUUCCAUUGCCUCUCAGGUUCAAAAGCUCCUGAUUCCGAGCGUCAACAAGGCCGGCCGGUGUGUCCUUGGGAAGAGUCAGCUACGCGCACAAAUGAAGAUGGAACAUUAGUACCCUGUGACGGCGGACGAAAGAAUGAAACUUACGUGGUUACUGAAGAAGAUGCGGUCGUUUGGAUACCGGGACACAUUGUACACCCAGGAAUUGCAGGGGAAUUCUAUAACUUGUUGCUGAGGCAGCUCGAGUGUUAGAGAUUUGAGGUAGAACUCGUUCGGGUGCUUGUUUCUGAUGGUGAAGGCACCGGGAACUCCAAAGUCGUCGCCGAUCUCGAACUUAACAUUCAACUCGACAUCUUCAGUUGCCCGCAAUCCUCCAGACACCAGCCAGCCGCCAGCAGCAGCUCGUUUGGACAGUGUUAAUUUCUUGGUUCC